CUACCGGGGUUUCUAAUCCUGUUUGCUCCCCACGCUUUCGCGUCUCAGCGUCAGUCACCGUCCAGAUGGCCGCCUUCGCCACCGGUGUUCUUCUCGAUAUCUACGAAUUUCACCUCUACACCGAGAGUUCCACCAUCCUCUCCGGGACUCCAGCAAGGCAGUAUCGAGUGCACUUCCAGGGUUGAGCCCUGGGCUUUCACAUCCGACUUGCCUCACCGCCUACACGCGCUUUACGCCCAGUAAUUCCGAACAACGUUCGCACCCUCUGUCUUACCGCGGCUGCUGGCAC
RNAcentral lists this ribosomal RNA (289 nucleotides) under uncultured Myxococcales bacterium. Its description in RNAcentral is "partial 16S ribosomal RNA". Lineage: Bacteria; Pseudomonadati; Myxococcota; Myxococcia; Myxococcales. The record is from RNAcentral.